RNAcentral lists this ribosomal RNA (850 nucleotides) under uncultured bacterium. RNAcentral describes it as "bacterial SSU rRNA". It matches the Rfam family "Bacterial small subunit ribosomal RNA", at positions 49 to 889 of the family's 1533-position model. The record is from RNAcentral.
UAACACAUGCAAGUCGAGGGGAAACGACAUCGAAAGCUUGCUUUUGAUGGGCGUCGACCGGCGCACGGGUGAGUAACGCGUAUCCCACCUGCCCACCACUUGGGGAUAACCUUGCGAAAGUAAGACUAAUACCCAAUGAUAUCUCUAGAAGACAUCUGAAAGAGAUUAAAGAUUUAUCGGUGAUGGAUGGGGAUGCGUCUGAUUAGCUUGUUGGCGGGGUAACGGCCCACCAAGGCGACGAUCAGUAGGGGUUCUGAGAGGAAGGUCCCCCACAUUGGAACUGAGACACGGUCCAAACUCCUACGGGAGGCAGCAGUGAGGAAUAUUGGUCAAUGGGCGAGAGCCUGAACCAGCCAAGUAGCGUGCAGGAUGACGGCCCUAUGGGUUGUAAACUGCUUUUAUAAGGGAAUAAAGUGGGUCUCGUGAGGCUUUUUGCAUGUACCUUAUGAAUAAGGACCGGCUAAUUCCGUGCCAGCAGCCGCGGUAAUACGGAAGGUCCGGGCGUUAUCCGGAUUUAUUGGGUUUAAAGGGAGCGUAGGCCGGAGAUUAAGCGUGUUGUGAAAUGUAGACGCUCAACGUCUGCACUGCAGCGCGAACUGGUUUCCUUGAGUACGCACAAAGUGGGCGGAAUUCGUGGUGUAGCGGUGAAAUGCUUAGAUAUCACGAAGAACUCCGAUUGCGAAGGCAGCUCACUGGAGCGCAACUGACGCUGAAGCUCGAAAGUGCGGGUAUCGAACAGGAUUAGAUACCCUGGUAGUCCGCACGGUAAACGAUGGAUGCCCGCUGUUGGUCUGAAUAGGUCAGCGGCCAAGCGAAAGCAUUAAGCAUCCCACCUGGGGAGUACGCCGGC